AUUGAACGCUGGCGGCAGGCCUAACACAUGCAAGUCGAACGAGUGGCGGACGGGUGAGUAAUGUCUGGGAAACUGCCUGAUGGAGGGGGAUAACUACUGGAAACGGUAGCUAAUACCGCAUACCAUCGGAUGUGCCCAGAUGGGAUUGGCUAGGAGGUGGGGUAAAGGCUCACGUAGUCGACGAACCCUAGCUGGUAUGAGAGGAUGACCAGCCACACGGAAACUGAGACACGGUCCAGACGCCUACGUGAGGCAGCAUGGGUGAAUAUUGCACAAUGGGCGCAAGCCUGAUGCAGCCAUGCCGCGUGUAUGAAGAGGGCCUUCGGGUUGUAAAGUACUUUCAGCGGGGAGGCGUUACCCGCAGAAGAAGCACCGGCUAACUCCGUGCCAGCAGCCGCGGUAAUAC
This 406-nucleotide ribosomal RNA is filed under the name uncultured bacterium. Its description in RNAcentral is "partial 16S ribosomal RNA". It matches the Rfam family "Bacterial small subunit ribosomal RNA", at positions 30 to 526 of the family's 1533-position model. The record is from RNAcentral.